RNAcentral lists this ribosomal RNA (388 nucleotides) under uncultured bacterium. Its description in RNAcentral is "bacterial SSU rRNA". It matches the Rfam family "Bacterial small subunit ribosomal RNA", at positions 28 to 416 of the family's 1533-position model. The record is from RNAcentral.
GACGAACGCUGGCGGCGUGCUUAACACAUGCAAGUCGAGCGGUAAGGCCCUUUCGGGGGUACACGAGCGGCGAACGGGUGAGUAACACGUGGGUGACCUGCCCUCAGCUCUGGGAUAAGCCUGGGAAACUGGGUCUAAUACCGGAUAUGACUCCAUGACGCAUGUUGUGGGGUGGAAAGCCUUGUGCGGCUGAGGAUGGGCCCGCGGCCUAUCAGCUUGUUGGUGGGGUGAAGGCCCUACCAAGGCGACGACGGGUAGCCGGCCUGAGAGGGCGACCGGCCACACUGGGACUGAGACACGGCCCAGACUCCUACGGGAGGCAGCAGUGGGGAAUCUUGCGCAAUGGGCGAAAGCCUGACGCAGCGACGCCGCGUGAGGGAUGACGGCC